UAAUCUUCUUUUCAAGUUUUAUUUUUAGUAGUAAUCCAAGGUAUGAUUUUUCUUUCAAAAAUUCUGAAAGUUGUCUUCUUCAUGUUAAAGUUGUUCUUCAAGACCGUAUGAACAUGUUCCUCUUCAAAUUCAUUUUUUUUUCUUUGAGUUUUUUCUGGAUUCACACUGUAAUAGUAACCAAUAUCCAUAAAAAUGCCUACAUCAAUUUGCUAAAUUUUCUUAGGAUCUUGGCUUCUUUUUCCCAAUUACUUUGUAGUUUUAUUCUCAAAUAUAAUGAAGGGUGUGAAUUUGAUGAAAAUAUUUUGCGAAAUAAUAAAUGAACACACAUUUUCAUAAUCUUGGAGGUAAAAUGUAGUUAGAGGCUUAGAGCAGAGGGAUUAUUUCGAGUUCCAGGGAAGGUGAGUAGGCAGGCUUGUUUCAUAUAAAAAUCUCACCUGCACCAGUCAAAUCUUAUAUAAGGGCCUCUUUCAUCAAAAUCCUUUUCUAAAAAUCCUCAUUACCCUUCAGCAAAUUGGAGGUAUGUUUUUCUUUCAAAUAUCUAUAUGUUUGUUUUCCUUAAAAUCUUACAACAUGUCUAUAUUUGGUGAAUUUUCUCUGGUUUAUCAGCAUGCAAGUCUUCAAUUUCCUCUUCUACUCCAUUUAUAAAAAAUAAAAACAAAAAGAUUUCUGUUUCGCACUGUAUUAUAAACGAAUAUCCAUAAAAAUUACCCAAUUUUCUUUGUACCUAGAUUUUUAAUUUUCAUUUCUUUUGGAUCAAUGUUUAUUCUUUUUACUUUUUUAAAAAAUAGUUUGUUACCAAGUAUCAAUGGAGUCUGUGCAUUUGAUGAAAAUAUUCAUCAAUAGUAAUAAAUACUAAUUGCAAAAUUGAUAUUGAGGAUGAGAAGUGUAAGAGUUAAAAAUAAAUUAAAACGUUGUUAAGGGAUACUCAGAUCUAGAAUAAUCUUUUAAGGGUAUAAUUGUCAAUUGGUACAAUAUUUAAUUUAAUGGUACUUAUUCACAAAUUUCUCUCCACGUGGAGAAAUUUCAAAUACAAAUACAAAAAUAUAUAUAUCUCUCGAGAAAUUUCUACUUAUGCUUGAAAUAAACAAUUAGGUUUCACCUACUCCCAAAAACUUCUUCUUCCGGCGGUUCAUCUUCUGGUUUACCAUAUUGUUGAUUCUAACUUCGUCUGUUCUUCAGGUUCUUUCAAUUUCAGGUAACUUUUUUUUAUUCUUGUCUUAAGCUUGUUUGAUUUUCAUUAAAAACUUGUGGAGAUGUUGACAUGGUAUUAUUGACAAUAGUAGGAUCUGGAACAAAUUCUAUGAGUUUUUCCGGUUUCCUUUAUAUUUUUUUUCUGUUCAACUGACUGAUUAACAUCAUUCCAUGGCUUAACAAAAAGUAGCGCUCAUUAUAUGAAUCUCAUUAUUUUAAUCUAUGUGUUUGUAAUUACACACCUCACUUAUUUAAUAUUGAAACAUAGUUGUUAUUGGUUUGUUUAUGAACUUGAAUCAACUGAGUAUAUAUUUCGAUAGCCUCUACUCGCUUAUACUAUUAUAAAGACUUGGAUAAUUAGCUACUUUACUGAUUGUGUUGUUGCACGAAAAUACUUGAACAAGGGUGCUUGAAAGUAUAUGAAAUUGAUUCUAUUUUUUAAUCUAUAUUGAAAUCUGUACUUGUAUUUAAGAUGAGCAUUGUGUUUUGCGAUAUUUAAGUGCUACAACAUUGAUGAGUUGCAAAUAUAUUUAUUUUGUUCUCAUGGUUAUAGUUGGAAAUAGUUCAUCUUGAUCUUUUGUUCAGUUGAUCGUUUUGUAUUCUUCUAUUCAGCUUGUGUGUUUUUAGCUCUCUUUUGUUUAACAAUGGUUGUUUGAUUAUUCCAGAUUAUGUUCGUAUAACUCUUAUGAAAAAUGAAAAAUAAAUACUUCAUCUUACAAGGAAUUCUUCCUAUUAAAAUAAAACCUCACUUGUCAUGUAAAAGAUAAUGGAUCACUGUAACAGAAACUCCACGUUCUCGAAUUAGUGAAUGCACAACUCGGAAUCAUGACAGACACCCUAGACAUUCUCAUAUUCUACAAGUUUACUGUAAUAUAUAAACUACACCAUUCAACCAUAGUAAUGGUUAUGCAGAGUUAGUAAAAUUAAUAAUACAAUGUAGAAAGUCAACUUCUCCAGAUUCUCCCUACUUUCAGGACUACAAUAGAAUUCUAUAAUGGUAUUUAAUAUUUUAGUCCUUGUGAUAGUAAAUUGCUGAACUUUUUUUCAAAUGUGAUGUUCUGUUUCAAAUUUAGACUCGGUUGAGAUGUAGUUCAACAAAAAGCAAGAAAACCCAAAAAUGUAAUGCACAAUUUAUCUGUAGGACAGUUAUGAAGCGGACUUAAGCUACCACUAACUUCUCUUUUGUCAAUAUGAUUUCAAAAGAAGUUCUACUAUGUAGAAAAAAAUUGUGAAAUUUGAAGACUUUUAAGUAGUGGAGUUGCGGUGUCCAGUUCCGGUGUCUUAUAAGUUACUACCUCCACUCUUGAUAAAUAGUAUUAUUAUCCAUGGUUUCUGCUCCUUCACAGUGUCGCACAGAUGCACAAACUCCGUAGUUUGAUAAUUUUUUAAUGAAGAAUUGUAGGGAGCAGGAAGCCUGCCAACCAAUCACUGUUUUUUUUGUCCUAGCUGAGUUUUCCAACGACCAACAUCAACAUCACAUGAUCUUGUGGCAUUCUUAAUGCGGCACUUCACAGUAUGGCAAAGAGAGAAGCUUAUGAUAUUACUUAAGAGAAGGGGCGUAGCAGUUCUUCUUUCAAGCUCAAAAUAGGCCGUCUAUUGCUAUAUCUCCUUCCUGAUCCCCCCGGAAUCACGAAGGGAGUGAGAAGAUAUUCCAAUGGACACCCUUUCGAGAAAAAGAAAGCUAUUCAAUCUCUUAGAUUACUCAAUUCCAAGUUAUCUUGAAAAUCCAACAGCAUGCCACUGUUUGAAAUAAUAUAUCACCUUGGUGUUACUGAGUGAGGCAACUAGCAAGGCCUAUAGCUUGUGCCAUGAGAAAAGGUGUCAACAUGCAUCCCAGCCUCCAACGAACCCUUGCUCAAACAGCUAAGACUCACAAAACAGAGGAAAAGGAAGUCAUAGAGACGGUUGCUCAGCAUCUCGUUAUCCAUACGAUAGCACUCAGUGCACUGGUCUACUAUAUUACAUCAAAUGAUCAAGAAACUGAACGAAAGCAGAAGCAGUUGGAUGAGCUGAAACAAGAAGGCAAGAACUGGACCAAAAGUUAUUAGAGUACCAGAAUAGGAUACGACUUUUGUAUGAAUAAAUCUCUCAGUAUAGACUCUUCUCAUUCUUCUCUUCUAUUGCAAUUGGGACCAAAUUGAUUUCUGGGUAGAAUUUAAAGUUUCUUUUUUGGAAAAUUCCUGUAACGCCUAUUUAGUACUUUCUUUUUUGUUCCAUUGAAAUUGCAUGUUUUAAUAUGGUAAUUCUUUGUUAAAUAGA
Solanum tuberosum (potato) is the source of this 3450-nucleotide long non-coding RNA. RefSeq lists it as uncharacterized. The transcript is spliced from 4 exons. NCBI's taxonomy places the organism in Eukaryota, Viridiplantae, Streptophyta, Magnoliopsida, Solanales, Solanaceae. The record is from RefSeq and is a predicted model, not a curated record.